UCCAACCUUGUUCUAAUUACUUGCUACCAAGUUUUCACACCUAGAGGCACAACUAUGUACUAAUGAAACUUUGGGGUCAGAUGAAUUCAAAUUUGAAUUGUAUGACUGGUCUCACUCCCACUCUUGUGGCUACAGAUGGGCUAGAUCCCGUGACUGAGCAAAAGGGGAGAGAGAAGGAAGUGGUUUCUCUCAAAGAUAAAGUGUUUAUCUCUGAGCAGAUAAACACAAGCCCAUUCUGUACUAGAUCAGGAGAGAGAAUGUUGGUUCAAAUCUAAGAUGCAGAGCAGAUUGGUUAAGGACUAAGUUAGUUGAUCAUUUCCUAAGACAAGACUAGGACUAGCAGCAAAGGUGGUAUGGAUACUAUCAAGAUGAGAGGAGAAGUGGACAAACUGAAAACUAGUUCAAGGUCUAACUUUACAAACAUGACCUACCCACUGUGGCAUCCCUCUUACGCUUAGCCUGAUGUGCUUUGGUAGAGGAAGCACCACCCAUAUGAGUCUGCAUUUGCCAAAGGUGCCUUAGAAGAAAGGGAAAGAACUGGAACAGGUCAGCAAGUCCCAUGCUAAUGGGACUCAUGUCAAGCUGGGUCAAGUUGGGGUGUAGAUCUCUCAUUGAGAGCUAAAGCAUGGCGCUAAAAUAAGGGAAAGCAGAGACAUAGAAAACAAUCAAAUCUGAAGAAACCAGAGGAUGGAGAUGGAGGCUGUAGAACAAGGUGGGAAUGGAAGCUGGUGGAGAACAAUAAGGUCCUGCUGAGGAUCCCUGGUGCCCAGUAGGGAACACCGUGAGGAGGAGGAUUAAGAAAGGCACCCUUUCCACUGAUUUGCAUCGCCAUUUGUACAUGGAGUUUGGCUACAGCAAAAUCCGUUGCUAUCUCACCAGCUACAAGAAGCAAAGAACGAAUUGCAAUUCAUUUUUGUGCUCUAGGACCCGGUUGAGGUUUAUCAUCAAGUUAUGUCAAUGCUAUCUCCAAAGUACAUUAUGAGCCCAUCUAUUUCUGUGCAUCCCCACCAGCAGACCCGAGUCCAAGCCUCAUCAUCCAUUGCCCAAACUACAUCAACAGUGCCUUCCUCUUCACGCCUCGUCCACCCUACAAUUUAUCUUCAUAAGAUGUGUAUGCUUUUCUUAAGAUGUGCAUUGGAUGUUGUCCCUUUGUUUUUAAGAGUUUUCCAGCUGGAUUUGAUGUCACUUUCCCAUGCUGUCACUAAUCCCCAGCCACAACAGAAUGGGUCACACUCUUCUGCACUUUGGACCCUUUGCCCAUGCCAGAGUUAUCCGCUGACCCUCUUCCCAUGGCUGUCACCUCUUCAAAAAGGUCCACUGAACCUGAAGUAGAUGUCCUCCCUCUAUUAAGAUUCAACGUAUCAAAUCCACCCUUUCAAAGUCUUAGACUAGCACCUGGCAUACAUCUCCUUGCUGACAAAAAAGGAAAUGACUUCUGAAGACAUGAAAAAAAAAAAACAGGGUGAAGACAAAUUGGGUUAGAAUAACCCAUGACCUAGAUCAUUAGACUUUGACUAAUGAAGAACUGCCUUUUAACAGAGUUAAAAUUGACAGCACCAUGGCCUCACACCCAACAGGGUUUGAGGCUGGACCCUUCUUUGACAAACGAUGCCCUGAUUUACGCGCAAAAAUACCCAUCACAGCAUUAUUUAUAAUAUUCCCUGUCCAAUGCUGGGGACCUAGUUCAAUUAGCUAUAGAACAGCCAUUUGAUGAAAUAUUAUAAAGCUAUUAAAAUAAUAGGGGCAAAGAAAUUUUAAAACAUGGGGAAAGCCUUGAUGUUGUAAUAUUAAAUGAAUGAAGGAAUUCUAUGAAUGAAACUCAUUAAAACAUGUCUUCACAGUA
This 1843-nucleotide long non-coding RNA is filed under the name Homo sapiens (human). RNAcentral's name for it is "HSALNT0362285". Lineage: Eukaryota; Metazoa; Chordata; Mammalia; Primates; Hominidae. The record is from RNAcentral.